This 374-nucleotide ribosomal RNA is filed under the name uncultured bacterium. Its description in RNAcentral is "bacterial SSU rRNA". It matches the Rfam family "Bacterial small subunit ribosomal RNA", at positions 1133 to 1506 of the family's 1533-position model. The record is from RNAcentral.
UUUCACUCUAGCGAGACUGCCGGUAAUAAACCGGAGGAAGGUGGGGAUGACGUCAAAUCAUCAUGCCCCUUAUGACCUGGGCUACACACGUGCUACAAUGGCUGGUACAACGAGUCGCGAGUCGGUGACGGCAAGCUAAUCUCUUAAAGCCAGUCUCAGUUCGGAUUGUAGGCUGCAACUCGCCUACAUGAAGUCGGAAUCGCUAGUAAUCGCGGAUCAGCACGCCGCGGUGAAUACGUUCCCGGGCCUUGUACACACCGCCCGUCACACCACGAGAGUUUGUAACACCCGAAGUCGGUGAGGUAACCAUUUGGAGCCAGCCGCCUAAGGUGGGAUAGAUGAUUGGGGUGAAGUCGUAACAAGGUAACCGUAAA